GCUCCGGCGGCGCGGAUGGCGGAGGGCGGCCAGCCCCCGCAGCAGCAGCAGCCACAGCCGCAGCUCCUGGCCGGCGGCGGCGCGGGGUCCGCCCGCGGCGUGAAGCGGGAGCCGGAGCUGGAGCAGCCCAUGCCCGGCGGGGACGGCACGGAGGGCGGCCACAGCAAGCGGCUGCGGACGGAGGCGGAGGCCGACGGCGGCGGCAUGCAGAGCGAGCCUCUGACUUCAGGUUAUCAUGGAUAUCCAGCAAGAGACAAUCAAGGUAACCAGGAGCCAUCCGCAACUCCUGAUGCAAUGGUGCAGCCAUUCACCACAAUCCCAUUUCCGCCACCCCCACAGAAUGGGAUUCCCACAGAGUAUGGGGUGCCACACACUCAGGACUAUGCAGGCCAGACCAGCGAGCACAAUCUGACGCUCUACGGAAGCACGCAGCCGCAUGGAGAGCAGAGCACGAACACGGCCAGCACGCAGAACGGAUCUCUUGCACAGACAGAAGGAGGGGCACAGACAGAUGGACAGCAAUCACAGACACAGAGCAGUGAAAAUACUGAGAGCAAAUCCACUCCAAAACGACUUCACGUGUCUAACAUUCCCUUCCGCUUUCGAGAUCCUGACCUUCGGCAGAUGUUUGGGCAAUUCGGGAAAAUCCUUGAUGUAGAGAUAAUCUUUAAUGAGCGUGGCUCGAAGGGAUUCGGGUUCGUAACUUUCGAGAAUAGUGCUGAUGCAGACAGGGCCAGGGAGAAAUUACACGGCACCGUGGUAGAGGGCCGUAAAAUCGAGGUUAACAAUGCCACUGCAAGAGUGAUGACCAAUAAGAAGAUGGUCACACCUUAUGCAAAUGGUUGGAAGUUGAGUCCUGUGGUUGGAGCGGUGUACGGCCCUGAGUUAUAUGCAGCGUCCAGCUUUCAAGCAGAUGUCUCGCUGGGCAAUGACGCCGCAGUGCCCCUGUCAGGAAGGGGGGGUAUUAACACUUACAUUCCUUUAAUCAUUCCAGGCUUCCCCUAUCCAACUGCAGCCACCACAGCCGCCGCAUUUCGGGGCGCCCAUCUGAGGGGCCGAGGAAGGACAGUGUAUGGGGCAGUGCGGGCAGUACCUCCCACGGCCAUCCCUGCCUACCCAGGUGUGGUUUACCAGGACGGAUUUUACGGUGCUGACCUCUAUAAUAGUCUUACAGGAACCAAUCAUUAGCGCUAAAAUACCUCAGGGUGGAUACGCAGCCUACAGAUAUGCACAGCCUGCUACUGCAACAGCAGCCACGGCCGCUGCAGCCGCUGCAGCAGCUUACAGCGAUGGUUAUGGCAGGGUGUACACAGCAGAUCCUUACCAUGCCCUUGCCCCUGCCGCUAGCUACGGAGUUGGCGCUGUGGCGAGUUUAUACCGAGGUGGCUACAGCCGAUUUGCCCCCUACUGAAGUGACGUGAGCCCCCUGCAAGUGGGAGAGCCCCCCCAGUUCAUGAGGCCUGGCUAUUGCAAUAUUUACUAGUAGAGGAACUCUAUAGCAAGUCGAGGAGGAAAAAAAAAAAAAAAAACAAAAGAGAAAAUACUUUUUUAUACCUCACUAUGUUCUUUGAAUAUGUAUUUUUUUUUUCCUUUAAAUUUCUGCCUUUAAUUCUUUUGUUCCAAAGAUUGUGCUUUUUUUUUUUGUUUGUUUGUUUUUUGUUUUCUUUUUUGGGUUUUUUUUAACUGUGGUAAAAAUAAUGCAUUUCCGUGUCUGUAUGUUGGUGCAUAGCUUAUCCUACCAAUCACGGAAAAGGCGAUUAGCGAUAAGGAAAGCUGUUAGAAACUGAUAUCAUGCAAUUAAUCAGGAACACGCAGACAGAGUUACUUCCCUGGGUCUGGUGCUUGGUGCCUGUGAGACAGGAGGACGUGAGGGAGAAGUCUCCACCUGCUGUGUUUCUGGUCUGCAGAAGGAAGCACUCUUUGGCUGUGGCUGGGACCUGAAUGCUGGUGGGAAAUAGUCAUUUACGUUUGGAAAUGGGGGAAAUGCAGAGACUUUCCUUGUUUCUAUCACCAUCUGACGCGCACAGGUUUGGGACAGUCUCAGCAGUGUCAGAACUUUAGUCUUCGCAAGAGGAGAGUCCCUCAACCUGCCCAAAGACUUCAGCUGUUACCUGCUCUAUAGGGGACAAGACUUGGAAAGGAGUUUUUGAUGAGGAUGAUCUUUUCCCCACACACAGAACUUUCACUCGCUGAUUUUUGUCCACUGCAGGUGGCUGUAACUGUCAUAGUUUUCAUUUCUCCUUUUGAAGAUCUUUCUUGCUGUCCUUUUCCUCCCCUUCGUUCCUCGAGGAGUGGCAGAUGCAGUGCAGGAUCAUGCAGAGAACCUCUGUUGCGGACAGCAAGUGACUAAACUUGGGGAGGUGAAGCACCUGCAGCCUUGCAGAGGAAGAAAGCGAGCAGAAGAGUCGAGCAUGGCGCACGCUCUGAGGCCCAGCGUGCAAGGGCUCUGCUCCUGUUCAUCCUGGGCUGCUUAGGUGCUUCUGCAAGUAAUCUCUUUCAAAUAAUAUGAGUGAGGAAAAGCCAAUCACACACAAGCUGCUCGAGGUGAGGGACAAGCAUGUGGGUUUGUGUGGAGGAAGAGGAUCUUUUAUAUCUAAAUGUGAUCCUGAAGUAGUUUUGUAUCUGGCAAAAGCAGUUUUUGCAAGCAAUGAAUUCAUAGGAACUUCCUACCACAGGCUAUUUCAGGCCUUUCCAUAGCUGCAUUGGAGCCCCUGGGUUUGUUUUGCCCAGCUUCUCACAGAAAGUUGUGCACCUGGUCUGCUGAGUCCAUAUAGACACUACAUAUUAGAAGACUUGGAAGAAUAGAAACUACUUACCCGAGGGCUCCACGACUCCCAAGACCAUCUCCCCUUCUGCUCUCACAGACAAAGAAUUUGCUGUGUUUCAAAGACAGGACACUUAGAUGACUGUGUUCUGUCCUGAUGCGGAGUUGCUGCUCUCCAGACCUCCCUGUUCAGCUGCUGGCUCCCAGAGUGCUCCCAGUAAUCCCAGUGGUCAGAGGCAGGCUCUAACCGCAUGCUGGAGAGAUGCAGAAGUGUAAUUGUACCAGGCUGCCUUGACUCCAUGGAUUGGUGCUGGGGUGAGCCACUGCCUUCAGAAGGGCAGCUUAGAGUAUGGAUUUGUUGGGGGAGCCUCUCCAGCUCCUGUCGAACACCUGCUUUUCCAUCCACCACUGACACAGAAUAGGAAAAUUCCUACAUUUAACACUAAGCAAUGUCAGCAAGCAGAGGUCCUGCUCCUGGGGAGGUAUCCUGGUCCAACCACACACAACCACACAUUUUUUGCUAUUCCCCAGUGAUACAUGGAGCCUCUCUGUGCACAGCAGAGUGGAGGUACCUCAAAUGGGAAGAAUGGGGACACCAUUAGUUAAGCUAGAGACCCUGAAGCUAUUGAUUUUCUGGAGGAAUAGCUAGAUAAAGGGGACACCAAACUGCCAGCCUGUUGGGCACUUUUUUUUGGUUUUGUUUUUUGGUUUUGUUUUUUUUUCCUGGUUUUAUUGUUGUUUUUUUACUUUUUUUUUUUUCCAAGCCAAAGUUUGGUUUGUUGCUGUUAUGACAAUUUUUUUGUUGUUUGUAUAUAAAUAUUUUAGCUUGAAGAUAAGGAGGGGGGAGAACAGGGUGUUGGGGCUUUCACAAAAUCUAGGAAAUGAGGGAGACUCGGGAUGUUUGGGGGUUUUUACUGCCUGAGUUGGGGUAGAAGAGGGAGGACUUGUGGUAGAGAUAGUCAUAUUCAAGUGGAGUUAUUUCUACUGCCGAGCAGCCAGGGGACUUGCAGAGCUGGGAUGCAGCUUGUUCUCCCCGCUGUGGAUGGAGAGCCUGAGCGAGGCCAUCCCUUCCCUUCCCGCAGGCAGUUCCUCAGGCUGUGAGCCCAGGAGCAUCUGCAGAGCCCUGCUGGGGCAGCUGCUCCCCCACUGCCCCUCUCCCACAUUCAGUUCAGCUGGUUCUGACUGCGGCUCCCCAAAAGCCGGGUUCUUCCUCCCUGAGUGCCCUCCCCUGCCCUGGCAGUGCCACCUGCAAUCCUCCCCUGCCACGUGGCCUCUCUGGGAGUAGGGAGGUAGCCCCAUUUCUGCCGCCUGGCAGAGUCUAUGCAUGGCAGCUUCAGCCCGCCCAAGUAUAUUAGGAAUGUGAGGGGUUUAGUGCAGAAGCACCCAACCUUUGGGGGGGCUGUGGUCCCCCGAUCUCCGAGUAAUACCUGUUCUAAGACCAUCCAGCCUGAUUCCUCCUGUAUGCGAGCCUGGCCUGCUCUAGUCCCUCGCUGCCAGGCUCUUCUGGUGCAUUAAGCAGCCAGUGUCUCUGUGGCUCCAUAGUUAAUGCUGCAAGAUCCCCUGAGGGAGCUUGCUGAUAGCCUGGCUUCCUGCUCUCAGCACUGAGCUGCAGAGGGGACACCAGGACACUUGCAUGGCUGGUGGCCAGAGGUAGCUCACUGGUUCCAGGUGUCCAAAGCACCAGACCUCCCAAAAACUUGCAUGGCAAGGUUUCCUGAGUGAGUGUUGUGCUGUGACAGGAGAGCUCUUCAGCCUUUCUUCCCUGUUGGCAAACAGGGAGCUCCAGUUUCACUCUGAUGUGUUAUGAGCUGAAUAAAGAAACUUUCAGAGUAGCCAAGGUGUGGCUAUAUCCAUCCUCUGAAGAAGUGAGGACAAAGCCUAUAUCUCCCUAUGCAAAAUUAAUUACGUUUAAUAAAUUGAACUGGGCCCUGGCUUAUUAGAAUGAUGGCAGCUAGUGCUUGUCCAUGUGAUGGGUCUGCAGUCACAGGUCCCUUGCAAAGCAGGAUUUGGCUUUCUGAGGGGAACCGCCCAGGCAGCCUGGCAAAUAGCUUGCUGUUUGUCACCAUCUAGUCUGGUGGCAUCUGGGACUCCUCUUGAUGCAGAGAAAAAAAAUGUAUCUUUAAGUGUAGCUAUUUGUACUGUCUUGCAAUAGGUUCAGCCAGCACAUGAUGAUGAAAUUUUGGUUUGAAGAGUUGGUUUAUUUAACAUGCUGGUCUGUAUUUCCUUGCAGUUACAGUUGUGCUGGUAUAAAGUAACUUCUACUGGUAUAGCAUAUUCUCUACUGGGAAUAAGUUAUAUUGAUGCCCAGCAAGUUAGCAAACUUGUCCUGGUCCCCAAGUGUGGAAGGCUGCACUGUUGUAGGUGGGUUAGCUUUUCCAAGAAAAGCUAUGACAGGACCUGGAGGCAGUGGGAGCUCAGUAUGAGCCUAAUGUAGUCAGCUUUUCCUGGGUUAAACAGUGAGGUGGAUCCUGUGUCAUGAAUUCAGAUAGACAAAGCCAUGUUUAAAGAUAGCUGUGGCUUGGCUGUUCCAGUGCCUGAGAGGGAGCAGACCUGCCCAGCAAGGAGCACUGGCUCUGGAGUCUGAGACCUGUGUUUUGGACAGGGCUCUGCCAGUGACCUCUCAAGGGUCCCUGUGGGGCAGUCGUGUUGCUACUUUAGACUUCGCUUCCCCGUCCCUAAAGUGAAGCUGAAGUUUAUCCCCUGUUCUUACCUGUUUUGAGAUCCAUGGAUGUGAAGUGUACAGCAAGAGCUAAGGAGGGUUUUCUGAGUAGCUAGCUCGAGUGCUGGUUGUGGAACGGUUAAUGAAGCCAUUUCCCUGCCUGAAAAGAGACACUGGCUGCUGGGCUUUCAAUUCCAGCACCCAGAGCUCCAUCAGUGGGGAAUACAAAGCAGAGCCUCCCAGUUCUACCCGUAUUUUUCCCCAGCCCAUCCCUAUCUGUAUCUUCCCAUCCUAGCCACGAAGAUGGAGGCAAGUAGAAAACAGGUUUGGGGAGCACUUAGGAAUUUAAUAAAGGGAAACCCAAAAAACAGCUCUGGGGAACGCUUUUGCUCAGUCUAGCUCCAAAGGGAAAGCACACAGGCAGCCUGGCAGAGGGCCUGCUGCCUGUGACCCUCCAGCCUGGCAGGGUGGGGGAAUGCUGUCCUUGGUGUAGAGGGGUGAUUUUUAAAGUGUUUUACCUGUUUGCACUGUUUUAAAAUAGGAGGGGGGGGAACCAACCUAGUGAACAAGAUGAACAUCCAAUGUAAACUUCUUUGUGUUUUUAUUUUUGACAUGCUCUUGGAUAAUGUCAAACAUUUUGUAGUAUACACCAGUGAGACUUGAUUCUUUGUUGCAUAAAACACUAUUUUUGGUGAUGUUAAUGUCUGAAAAGCCCAUUCCCUCCAUCCCCACCUUACUGAUUGCCCUCUCCACACUCCAACCCCAGUAAACUUCUCUUCUACAAUGAAAACUCCAGUCAAUAAGGCAAGCAGGAGUCUGAUAGCCAGAGCGUGAAAUGGGGCCCUUUGCAAGCAGGCUGUGGGGUUUCUGCCUGGUAUGCUUUGCUCCAGCCAGGAGUUGUCAGGAGAGUCCCCAUCUUUCUGCACUGCCUGCAGCAAUGGCAGCCUAAACGGGACUCGGGAUGGCCAAGUCCCGUCUCUGUUGCCACUGCUGACCCUGGAAGACAGCUUCUUGCUGGGGCUGCCAGUGCUGCCCAUGAUUGUCCUCUUGGGGCCAUGGGCUGCAGCUGGCCCAGGCUUGUGCAGGAGACCGGCUUCCCAUGCUGCCUCUCGACUCGUGGUAGAGCAGGAAUGCAUCAGCCAAAAACCUUGCCUGAUUUCACCAGGAGAUUGCUGGUGUGUAAAGCCGUCCACCAAGAUACUCAUUUGGCUGGCAGUCAGAGUCAGCAAAAUGCCCAUUAAUCUUAGGAAUGUUUCUUCUUUUUAAAAUUUUUUUGAUGUUCUGAAGUGGGUCAAUAAAUCUCUUGCCAGAUUCCCAGCUCUCUGCUGGUGGAAGGGCUUGUUGCUUCCCUGAGGAGUAAAUUUCUUACAGAAAUCAGGCCUCCCACAUUAAUAGUCUCAGUUCUGGUCAUGUUUUAAUAUUUUUUUCUGUUCACAGUAUUUUGUGUGUGCGAGUGUUGUAGUUUUGGCAGCUCAGUUUGGCUGCAUUAUCAAGUGACAAAAUCAUCCUCUUUUACCCCAGGGGAUACGAUUUGUUUUGUUUUUCCUUGAUUUUUUUUGUUUUGUUUGUUUGGGGGUUUUUGUUAGGCUUUGUUUGGUUUUUGGUUUUGGUUUUUUUUUUUAGGUUUUUUUUUUUUAAUAUGGUAAAUCCUGCUUGUAAAUUGCUGGAGCUAAAACCUGGGGCUGAUAGCAAAUGAGAACCAGGGCUGUAGAUCAAUACGGAGCUGGUGGAGUAUUUUACUGACCUCACAGGCCGAUCUCUUUGAGACUUGGAGAUUUUCAGUGCGAGGCCGAGAUGCCGCAGCACCUCCAAUGGCAGCGACAGACUUGCCCCUUCUCGCAGUCUCCCCAGCACCUCCCAUUGCCAGGUACCGCCGGGGAGCAGGACGUGUCCGAGUGGGACACGUUCCCUUCCCCUGCAUCAUUUCCUAGGACGCCCGAGCCGCUUGCCCAGGGUCCCAUUUCCCUGCUGACUCUGGAGAAGCAGUAUCUGCAUCCCAGGGCUUUGUGACAGCCUUUAACUUCCCGCCCUCCCUCGUUAAGUAUCAUAUUGUAUAGUAGCUUUCAGACCAUACAGUAUUCAUUGGGUUAUUCCUAUUAUUAUCAAGUAGCUGGAAUUGUGAAGGUUGGAGUAGUUAGAUCUUUAGCUUUUAUUCCUUUUUUUUGUAUUACUAUCCAUGUGUAUAAAUUAUUGAUCAUGUUGCUGGCUUUUAUAAACUCUAAGCAAGGGGGGAAACCCUUCCUAACCCUUUGCAAAUGGUAAUGAAGCACUGUUUUUAAAUAAAAGAGAGAAACACCA
Molecule: RNA transcript, 7721 nt
Organism: Parus major (Great Tit)
Lineage: Eukaryota; Metazoa; Chordata; Aves; Passeriformes; Paridae
Gene: RBFOX2
Gene name: RNA binding fox-1 homolog 2
Exons: 15
Source: RefSeq, a predicted model, not a curated record